Non-coding RNA from Phascolarctos cinereus (koala), 1229 nucleotides. Lineage: Eukaryota; Metazoa; Chordata; Mammalia; Diprotodontia; Phascolarctidae. The record is from RefSeq and is a predicted model, not a curated record.
AGCCCGCCUAUAUAAGGACCCGGCCGCCAGCGUGCGGGAGCUACAAGGAUGUGGCAGCUUUGGGGCUGCUCCGUCAUUUAGCCGUUUGCGCUCUUUAGCUAUUUAAACGCUCCCGCACUGGCCUUUCCGGCGCGCUUUCCCCGAGCUUCACCUUCUUUUUCUACCUAAGUCAAUCAGGUAGCAUUCAUUAAGUGCCUCUUAUGAACUAAACGCUGGGCGCAGAAAUAAGCCGAUCCAAUCCAGUGUGCAUUUAUGAAGCGCCCGCACUGGGGCCGAGCGCCAGGGAUACGAAGAAAGGCAACGCCAGUGCCUGCCCUCGAGAGCUCCCAGUCUAACGGGGGAGAUAGCGUGCAAACAACUGCGUGCAACAAGGUGCGAAAAGAAGAGAUUGGCCGUAGUCUCAGAAGGAAGGCGCUAGCUUAGGGAGACUGAGAAAGGCUUCUUGGCAGAGCCAGAGACUGCUUUGCUCUUCAGUAGGCUUGGUGGCUGCCAGAGAAAAACCACUUGCAGGGUGGUGACCAACCCAUUCCAAUAGAAGAACUCUCUAAAAAUGCUAGUGGGGCAGCCCAGUGGGGAAGUAGGCGCCCUCCUUCGGGGAAGGUCUUCAAGCGGUGGCUGGGUGCAUAGAAGUCAGGUGUGAGGACGUUAGGGAGUCUUCUGUUCCUACCCCGCUGGGAAGAGGUGCUUUUCUAAGAGGAAUUAGGAAUGAGACUUUCAACUUCAUGGCUGAAAUGCACCGUCUCCUUAUUAAGGAAUGCUUCCUUCAAAGCACAGAGGUCACCUCUUGAAUAAGACCUUUUCUCAUCCCACCAGGGUGUCUGAAACUUGAAGCUGUUUUGGUUGAACUAUUCAUGAAGUACCUGGUACCUCAGUGUAGGAGAUAGAGAUGAAGAGAGCAGUCCGUCUACCAUACCACUGCCACCACUCCAGCAACAUGGGGUGAAUAGAGAGGGCAAAGAUCACAUGCUGCUAAAGUGAUGCAUUUAUUUAGGUGAAGUCUGCCUUAUCAACCAGCCUUGGAUGUCACUACCUCCAAAGGAAUACUAUACCUGUACAGAGGGAUCUGAGGAGGCAGCCACAGCAGCAGAAAAAGUAUCUGCAUGGAGGACGCAAGCUGGAUCUCCAACAUUGAUGUGGAUAAAGGCGUGACUUUUGGUCCUUUGCCACUGUCCCUCAGAGACAAGUGUGUGAUUCUCAUCUGUCUUCAAGAGGCACACUGAUCAUGAAAG